Molecule: long non-coding RNA, 442 nt
Filed under: Prunus persica (peach)
Lineage: Eukaryota; Viridiplantae; Streptophyta; Magnoliopsida; Rosales; Rosaceae
Description: long non-coding RNA (PPER_LNC005215)
Source: RNAcentral
AUGCUGAUCGGAGGGCUGGGGAGGCGACACAUGGCUUAUUCCCGUUGGAGCUGGCGUCGCGCUGACGUCAGCGUGACGCGAGGGCUGACGUCAGCGUCCGCGGGCUGGAGCUCGGGCUCGUCUCGCCUUCGGGCUGGCCCGAGUUGGUGGGUCCCACACCCCCCCGGGCUUGGGCUGCGCGGUGGAACGCCAUUUUUUUUUUCCCCUCGCCUCGGGCUGGGCCCUUCCGUUGGACUUGCUCUUAGAGCAACUCCACCCAUUUGCCUUUAGCCAUAGCAAGGGGGGAGCUAGGGCAACUACUAUUCACGUGAAUAGUGGUUGCCCUUGCAAAUAGUAUUUUGUGUUUCCAACCCAUUGCCAUGGCUAAGGGCAAUUACUAUUCAUUUUUUUGUUUUUUUUCACAAAUUUUUUAAUGAAAAUAAUUAAUUUGGAUAAUAUUUUC